CCCUUAGACGCUCUAGGCGGCACGCGCGCUACAAUGGGUGGUAGAACGUGUAACUGCUCCCGAAAGGGAGGGUGAACCACGAAUACUUACCCGUGAAUGGGAUAGUUUGUUGCAAUUUUCGGACUUGAACUAGGAAUCCCUUGUAAGAAUGCUCAAGAAUAGCGUGCUGAAUACGUCCCUGCCGUUUGUACGCACCGCCCGUCGUUUCUUCCGACUGAUACUCAUUGUGAGUUGCAAGGAUUCUUAUUGAAAAAUUGCUGCGAAUGCUUUGUAUUGGAGGAAGAAAAAGUCGUAACA
Molecule: ribosomal RNA, 297 nt
Filed under: uncultured eukaryote
Lineage: Eukaryota
Description: partial 18S ribosomal RNA
Rfam family: Eukaryotic small subunit ribosomal RNA
Source: RNAcentral